Molecule: long non-coding RNA, 630 nt
Organism: Venturia canescens
Lineage: Eukaryota; Metazoa; Arthropoda; Insecta; Hymenoptera; Ichneumonidae
Exons: 2
Source: RefSeq, a predicted model, not a curated record
GGUCAUACGCACUCGAGAUUCUUCGUUCGAAAAUUUUAUCGAUCAUUUCAAACCACUCGAAACGUCUCUCGUCUCAAGCAUACGGUGUCUUAAAUGAUCUAUCAUUUCUUUCGCUCUCCCUGCUCUCUCUAUCUCUCCCGAUUUUCAAACGAUUUGGAAUUCGUAAAAGUUUGAAAUAAUGAUAUUGGGGGGGCAAACUUAACAGAGGUGUUUAGUAAUUCUAUUUUCAGUGGAGAGUGGAGAUAGCCGGAGCCAACGAAACAAAACAAAAAAAAGGGAAAAAAGAUGUAACGUCAUCGAACGGACCGAACAAUUUUGUGAGCUAAAAAUUUUUUUUAGGACAAAAAGCAAACGUUCCGACUGAUCACGACGUCACAGUGUAUAAUAUAAUGUUGAUGCAGAAUCAGAUUGACUGAUUCGAUUCUACAGAUAUCAAGAAGAAAUACAUAGUUCCGUGAUGCCGUCGUUUGGCUAAUUGGUGUGAUAACUUUUAAAAAAACGCAUUGUCGCGAUCCUUAAGCAGUAUUGUGUACUAUGGUUUCUCUUGGUGUGAUGCAAAAUGUCUGAAACUGCAGUUCUGCUGGAUAAUCAGAUAGAUAUUAUAUUGCCAAAUGAGAAUCUGCUUUAUGA